This 264-nucleotide ribosomal RNA is filed under the name uncultured bacterium. Its description in RNAcentral is "partial 16S ribosomal RNA". It matches the Rfam family "Bacterial small subunit ribosomal RNA", at positions 524 to 787 of the family's 1533-position model. The record is from RNAcentral.
UACGGGGGGGGCAAGCGUUGUUCGGAAUUACUGGGCGUAAAGGGCUCGUAGGUGGUCAACUAAGUCGGACGUGAAAUCCCUCGGCUUAACCGGGGAACUGCGUCCGAUACUGGAUGACUUGAGUUCGGGAGAGGGAUGCGGAAUUCCAGGUGUAGCGGUGAAAUGCGUAGAUAUCUGGAGGAACACCGGUGGCGAAGGCGGCUCUCUGGGACGGUACUGACGCUGAGACGCGAAAGCGUGAGGAGCGAACAGGAUUAGAAAACC